UUUAAUUGACCUGUCAAAACAUGUACCCGGCUUUCACGUUAAUCUUAUAUAGGCUCGAACAGAAUAUAACGAAAGCCGGGUCCAUAUUUUGACAGGUCAAAUAAAUUGGACAAUACGUUGUACCGAAAAUAUGAUUAUUUGAUCUAAGUCUACCACUGGAGUGGAGUCAAAGGAUAAUUUUUAAAAACGCGGCUGCCGUAGCUACGUCAGUGAGGCAGGGUCACUCAAAAUGUCUCACUAUGGGGAAACAUCGUAAAAUGGCGUAUGUACAAGGUGGUGAGUACGGCGCUCAAUUAUUUACAGAGCAGAGUAAAAGCAGAUAAAAACGACGUUGCAGCUUAUUGGGAUGAUGUCGCCAGGGCCCUCUUGAAAGCCUCGACGCUUUCGGCUUCCUGUGGGAGCCGGUUCCAUAGUCUGGUGGCGGAGGCGAAGGAGUGAAGGAGGACAUCAAUGUGACAACACCGAGGGCGCGAUAAUCGUCAGUACUAAAUGUAAUGUUUUCAUUCUGCUACACAUUCGGUUGGGGUAUUUGUCAAUCUAAUUUGACUGGUUCAGAUUGCUUUGUUGAAAUGGCUUAAAGAGAAAAAAAACCUGGUGAAUCAGGCUGACACUGUCUCCAUAACGUUGUGAACAUUAAAUAUGACUUUGGAUUAGUCAUACGUCGAAUCUUUAAGUAUUUAUUUCUUCAGUGGUGCUUGUGUUCCCUGCUUUAAAGAAUGUAAAUAUUAAGUACCGCCAUUUAAAAAAAAAACAACAACAACAUUCUAACAACCCCGCUGAAUGCUGUUUCAACAGUUGCCUUUUGGACGUCAUAGUUAAAACUGGAAUCAGUAUCUUUUUAACAUAUAUUAUUGUGUUUUAAAGUCAUCAGAAAGGCAUAGAGUAGAUCAGAAUUGAUAGAGACUCCGAAUGUUAAAGUUGAUCCUGCUCCGAGUUGCUUUAUUUCGUGAUAUAAUAUGUAAUUUAAACUCUGGAAACAUGUUUCUAUUUGUAAUGAAAUUUCAGUGUUUCUGCUAUACAGUAUAGAUAACUUUUUUUUUGUACUAGAAUAUGCACUUUUUGAGUAAAAUCAGUAAGUAAUUGGGAAUAGAUGGUGAACACCUUUCCUUUUUCAGCAUUAGAAAUCAAUAGUCAUUAGAUAACACUCAAAACUAUAGAAUGUUAAUAGAAGAAAAAAAUAGGGGCAUUUAGGGUUUAGGUCAGAAAUUCUCAAUUCUAUAAAUUACGUUUGACGCAUACUAGUAAUUCGCGUUUCAUACUCGUAUGUUUCAAGUGUAAUUUAUAAACAAAACGAAAAAUAAAGAUAAACUCUUUCUCCUAAAAUGUCAAUUUAGUGUCAAUAUUAAUUACUGAGGCUUCCCAUGGUUCUUUAGCAGCCGCUUCCUUAAUACACGAGUCCUAGAUUUAAAUAGAUACCAAAGUAAAAAGUAUGAGCAGGUCUUUCAUUCAUCCAACCACUCAUACAACAAAUUGUCAUUCACUAAUGAUAACUAUCAUAUAUUCCUGUAGGAAUAUUCCUCAUAGAAUAGUAGAGCUACUGGACUCGCCCGUCCCCAUUUUUCAACUUAGAAUGUCUGGUUAAUGUUUUGUAUGUAAGCUGGUAUCUCAGUAACCACUUGUUGGAAUGGAUUGAUACUUCAAACACAUGUUCACUCUCAUAAUUUGACAUGUAGUGUGCAGGCCCUUUAACUCUACUUUGCAUAUUUUCAAAAUUAUGCCCCUUUUUCGACUUAUAAGUUUUUGGUUAAGCUUUUGUAUGUAAGCUGGUAUCUCAAAAUCCACUAAUAGGAGUGGAUUGAAACUUCACACACUUGUUCACUGUCAUGAUAUGACAUGCAAUGCAAAGGUUCAAUAACUCUGUUUUGCAAUUUUACAAAAUUAUGCCCCUUUUUUAACUUGGCAGUUUUUGGUUAAAUUUUUAUAUGUAAGCUGGUAUCUCAGUACCUACUAAUAGGAGUGGAUUGAAACUUCACACACUUGUCUACUGUCAUGAGCUGAUAAGCACUGUGCAGGUUCUAUAACACUGUUUUGCAGUUGUACAAAAUUAUGCCCCUUUUCGACUUUUGUAUUCAUUCAGCUGACAAGGCUGUUGGAUAGUCGAGCGUUGAUGUCCUUCGGCAGCUCUUGUUUUAUAUAUAUAUAUUUUUUAUUUUUUUUAUCUAAGUGUUGUAUUCGUAUAGCAUCUGUGAUAUUUAUGAUUAGUCUUUUAUAACUCAUUAAUGAGUGGCAUCUGUGUACUAUGUUAUGUAAUGUGUAUGUAAAUAUAUACAUGUAUGUUUAUGUUUUAUGUAGUGAUGUACAUGAUGAUGAGACUGAAAUAAAUAAAUUAUCUAUCUAUGUGAAACUUGUAGCUUGUAUUUUGUACUUUUUUUUUCCUUCGGUAUAAUGU
Mercenaria mercenaria is the source of this 2389-nucleotide long non-coding RNA. RefSeq lists it as uncharacterized. Lineage: Eukaryota; Metazoa; Mollusca; Bivalvia; Venerida; Veneridae. The transcript is spliced from 3 exons. The record is from RefSeq and is a predicted model, not a curated record.